This 494-nucleotide ribosomal RNA is filed under the name uncultured Chloroflexota bacterium. RNAcentral's name for it is "bacterial SSU rRNA". It matches the Rfam family "Bacterial small subunit ribosomal RNA", at positions 387 to 896 of the family's 1533-position model. Lineage: Bacteria; Bacillati; Chloroflexota. The record is from RNAcentral.
UGCAGCAACGCCGCGUGCGCGAUGAAGGCCUUCGGGUCGUAAAGCGCUUUUCUGGAGGACGAGCGAGGACGGUACUCCAGGAAGAAGGCUCGGCUAACUACGUGCCAGCAGCCGCGGUAAAACGUAGGAGCCUAGCGUUGUCCGAAUUUACUGGGUGUAAAGCGCGUGCAGGCGGCUUGGUAAGUUGGCUGUGAAAUCUCCCGGCUCAACUGGGAGGGGACGGUCAAGACUGCCAGGCAGGAGGCAGGGAGAGGGAGGUGGAAUUCCCGGUGUAGUGGUGAAAUGCGUAGAGAUCGGGAGGAACACCUGUGGCGAAAGCGGCCUCCUGGCCCUGACCUGACGCUGAGACGCGAAAGCUAGGGGAGCGAACGGGAUUAGAAACCCCGGUAGUCCUAGCCGUAAACGAUGUCGACUGGGCGGCGGUGGGGUAAAAGCCAUCGGUGCCGCAGCUAACGCGCUAAGUCGACCGCCUGGGGACUACGGCCGCAAGGUUA